This 494-nucleotide ribosomal RNA is filed under the name uncultured bacterium. RNAcentral describes it as "partial 16S ribosomal RNA". It matches the Rfam family "Bacterial small subunit ribosomal RNA", at positions 28 to 507 of the family's 1533-position model. The record is from RNAcentral.
GACGAACGCUGGCGGCGUGCUUAACACAUGCAAGUCGAACGGAAAGGCCUGCUUUCCCUUGUGGAUUGCGGGUACUCGAGUGGCGAACGGGUGAGUAACACGUGAGUGAUCUGCCCCCAACUUGGGUAUAAGCCUGGGAAACUGGGUCUAAUUCCCGAUAGGACUGCAGGGUGGUGCCUGUGGUGGAAAACGAUUUUCUAGUGGUUGGGGAUGAGCUCGCGGCCUAUCAGCUUGUUGGUGGGGUAAUGGCCUACCAAGGCGGCGACGGGUAGCCGGCCGGAGAGGGUGGACGGCCACAUUGGGACUGAGAUACGGCCCAGACUCCUACGGGAGGCAGCAGUGGGGAAUAUUGCACAAUGGGCGGAAGCCUGAUGCAGCGACGCCGCGUGGGGGAUGACGGCCUUCGGGUUGUAAACUCCUUUCGACCGCGAGGAAGCCACCUGGUUGGAAGGGUGGUGACGGUAGUGGUAGAAGAAGCACCGGCUAACUACGUG